This 498-nucleotide ribosomal RNA is filed under the name uncultured bacterium. RNAcentral's name for it is "bacterial SSU rRNA". It matches the Rfam family "Bacterial small subunit ribosomal RNA", at positions 21 to 507 of the family's 1533-position model. The record is from RNAcentral.
GGCUCAGAUUGAACGCUGGCGGCAGGCCUAACACAUGCAAGUCGAACGGUAACAGGAAGAAGCUUGCUUCUUUGCUGACGAGUGGCGGACGGGUGAGUAAUGUCUGGGAAACUGCCUGAUGGAGGGGGAUAACUACUGGAAACGGUAGCUAAUACCGCAUAACGUCGCAAGACCAAAGAGGGGGGACCUUCGGGCCUCUUGCCAUCGGAUGUGCCCAGAUGGGAUUAGCUAGUAGGUGGGGUAACGGCUCACCUAGGCGACGAUCCCUAGCUGGUCUGAGAGGACGACCAGCCACACUGGGACUGAGACACGGCCCAGACUCCUACGGGAGGCAGCAGUGGGGAAUUUUGGACAAUGGGGGCAACCCUGAUCCAGCCAUGCCGCGUGCAGGAUGAAGGCCUUCGGGUUGUAAACUGCUUUUGUCAGGGACGAAAAGGAUCGUGAUAAUACCAUGGUCUGCUGACGGUACCUGAAGAAUAAGCACCGGCUAACUACGUG